Molecule: long non-coding RNA, 1478 nt
Organism: Sus scrofa (pig)
Lineage: Eukaryota; Metazoa; Chordata; Mammalia; Artiodactyla; Suidae
Source: RefSeq, a predicted model, not a curated record
GAACUCCUGAUGAGAGUUUUUAUCAUGAAUGAUUGUUGGAUUUUGUCAAAUGCUUUUUCUGUGUCUAUUGAGAUAAUCUUAAGAUUUUUAUCUUUCAGGCAUAAGUUGCCUGAGGCUCCCAGGAGGGGAGAGAAAACAGCAGCGUGAACCCCCAUCUCCAGCCUGAUCUCUGGGAGCCCAGCCAGCCUCUCCCUUGGACAGGACUCCCCCUGGAUGUGCCCCAACCCCAGGGCUGCCCCCACAACUGCAGGUCACCAGGGCUCCUCCUAAGGGCCUCCCUGCCACGCUCUGAAACCGUGGCUGGGCAUCAUCAGGUCCAUAAGACCUGUAAGCUGCCUUCACCCGCCAAGCUCCCUUUAAGUGUUUCUAUAAACACCUGUUAGGCACUUAGCCUAAACAGGCAUUUGCCUGAGUUCUUUCCUGGGGAACUUGGCAUCCGUGGUGUCCAGUUCGAGCUGAGCUUGUUGAGUGAUGAGCACCACUGACCCUCUAACUGAAACCGUAAGCCAGCAGGAAGAAAGCCAAACUCUGACAGCCAGAGUUUGCAGCAAAGUAAGGAGGUUAUUUGGCAGGGCACCCAGCUAGGGAGUGGGAGGAAAGCCUGGAAUCCACUCCCACGUGGUCUCUGAGUUUGUGAAGAGGAAGACGUGAGGAGCUGGGGUUAAUGAUCUGAAUCAUCUGUGACCCUGUGUGUGUCUCCAUAACCUGUAAAGGCCACUUUGCGCUGGAAGAUAACUCAACCCCACAUCAACCCCUAACAAUGUUUACCAGAAAACUGUGGCUCAAAGCAGCUGCCCUUCAUUACUCCAUAUUGACGAGGCCAACGUGAUCCAACAGGCGGAGCCAGAACAGAAAGGGACCAAAGAGGAACAAGGAAGAUGAGAAUAGAAACCUGGGGUUGCUUGUAAUUAUUGACUAGUCAGAGGGCAUGGCUCCUGACCAGGGGAGCUACAUCUGGGGGACCAGGAGCUACAUCUCAGAACGUGGAGAAGCCUGGAUCUUGAUGGCGCCCUCGCAGAAGGGCAGCCCCACCGUUUUCUUAUUUCCAAUCACCUUGCCCCACCCUCCCCAAAUCUCAGCUCCAUCCCAUAAAUACCCCAGGCCCCGCCUUCAGGUUGGAGGUUUCUUAAAUGCGCCUUUCCUGUGCUGCAAGUUUCUGGCCUCUUAGCGUUUGGCCCCGUGAACGUGUCUGCCUCUGCUCUGUCCCCAGGCUUGCAGUCAGAGCGCUUGGUGAGCCAACUCGGGAUUGUCAUGAAGUGUACCUGAGUGUCAUUGGAUUUAUCCUAUUUGGAACUCUGAGGACUUCAUGGAUUCUUUCCCCAGGUACAGAAGCUCUACUCAGCUCUUUCUGUAACAGGACUGGCAACCACUGCUUAAGAUCCUAUGAUAAAUAAGCACAGCAAUGACUAAAAAUAAUGAAAAUAAAUGGGAGAUUUGUUUAGUUCUUCUAGUACCUACACAGAAUAUCCUUACAUACA